UACCCUGUAGAUCCGAAUUUGUGUAAAAGAAGCGGCCUCACAAAUUCGCAUCUAGGGGAAUA
RNAcentral lists this microRNA precursor (62 nucleotides) under Gekko japonicus. RNAcentral describes it as "Gja-Mir-10-P1c-v1_pre stem-loop". It matches the Rfam family "mir-10 microRNA precursor family", at positions 8 to 66 of the family's 74-position model. Rfam says of the family: In this case the mature sequence comes from the 5' arm of the precursor. The extents of the hairpin precursors are not generally known and are estimated based on hairpin prediction. Lineage: Eukaryota; Metazoa; Chordata; Lepidosauria; Squamata; Gekkonidae. The record is from RNAcentral.